This 334-nucleotide long non-coding RNA is filed under the name Lotus japonicus. RNAcentral describes it as "long non-coding RNA (LJAP_LNC000400)". The record is from RNAcentral. Lineage: Eukaryota; Viridiplantae; Streptophyta; Magnoliopsida; Fabales; Fabaceae.
UUAUAUGCCUUAGAGAAAGUCUCAAGAGGGGAUAAGCUGAAACAUUAUAUCAAAAUAGAAAGUAGUGAGCAAAGUAAAAGCAUUCUUAUUUGUCCUUCCACUGCACAGAAGCUCCAUUUAGCAACCUAACUUCUAUAAUUUAAGUCAACAAACAAAGGAAGAUCAAUAUCGAGAAACAAAAAGCGUAUGAAUAUCAAAUUACAGUAAAAGACUAUAAGCAGAUGGAUACAUUUUCUUGUUAAAAUUAACUAAUGGCAUAGAAAACAACACAUUUAACAAUGAUAGAGAAAUUUAAUAGUACUAUGUGGUAUGAGCCUAAGAGAAAAGGAACCAU